AUUGAACGCUGGCGGCAUGCCUUACACAUGCAAGUCGAACGGUAACACGUCUUCGGCUGCUUACUAGGGGCGGACGGGGGAGUAAUACAUCGGAACGUGCCCGAUCGUGGUUUAUAACGGGGCGAAAGCUUUGCUAAUACCCCAUACGAUCUACGGCUGAAUACGGGGGACAGCAGGGGAUUUCCCGGCCUUGGCGGCCGAUGUGAGAUUAGGUAGUUUGUGGGAUAUAAGCUUACCAAGGCGACGAUCUGUAGCUGGUCUGAGAGGACGACCAGCCACACUGGGACUGAGACACGGCCCAGACUCCUACGGGAGGCAGCAGUGGGGAAUUUUGGACAAUGGGCGAAAGCCUGAUCCAGCCAUGCCGCGUGGAGGAAGAAGGCCUUCGGGUUGUAAACUGCUUUUGUACGGAAAGAAAAGAAUCUUUCUAAUAAAGAGGGUCUAUGACGGUACCGUAAGAAUAAGCACCGGCUAACUACGUG
This 482-nucleotide ribosomal RNA is filed under the name uncultured bacterium. Its description in RNAcentral is "partial 16S ribosomal RNA". It matches the Rfam family "Bacterial small subunit ribosomal RNA", at positions 30 to 507 of the family's 1533-position model. The record is from RNAcentral.